AGGUCCUGAAAGCUGAAUCAGAGGAGUCUUUGCAUAAUCUUAUUUUGCAAAACAGCACAAUCUUCCAAACUGCUGGAUGCCUCAGAAACGUCAAGCCUUUUGAGAAACAAGCAUUUGUGGAGGAGUACCUCAGAUGGUACAUCCUUGAAAGAAACCAAAGUGUCAUUCAACGAGCUCAUCUUGGGUUCCCGCCUUUGGCCCAUGCACCUGGCCUCAUUACUCACCUGCUGUUGAUUUACCUGAUUACCUGGCCAAUUGUCGUUGCUGGAUUGUUGAGUAACCUGUAUUCCCCUGGACCUGUUCCUGUUUUCUGUCCCUGGAUUAUCUGAGACUCGGUGAGUGGCGAGGUGUGUGUGGAGCGAGAGCGAGAUUGACUAAAGAGGAUCGUUGUAUCUGUUUGUGGACCUUUUCCCUUCCUCUCCACAGAUUCCCGGAACCCCUGACCUCUGCACGUUGUAUAUAUUGCACUUGGUGUUUCUGUAAAUAAACUGUUGACUUUCUUUUUGAAAGAA
Molecule: long non-coding RNA, 512 nt
Organism: Oreochromis aureus
Lineage: Eukaryota; Metazoa; Chordata; Actinopteri; Cichliformes; Cichlidae
Source: Ensembl